Molecule: ribosomal RNA, 253 nt
Filed under: uncultured bacterium
Lineage: Bacteria
Description: partial 16S ribosomal RNA
Rfam family: Bacterial small subunit ribosomal RNA
Source: RNAcentral
UACAGAGGGGGCAAGCGUUGUUCGGAAUUACUGGGCGUAAAGGGCGCGUAGGCGGCCAACUAAGUCAGACGUGAAAUCCCCUGGCUCAACCAGGGAACUGCGUCUGAUACUGGAUGGCUUGAAUCCGGGAGAGGGAUGUAGAAUUCCAGGUGUAGCGGUGAAAUGCGUAGAUAUCUGGAGGAAUACCGGUGGCGAAGGCGGCAUCCUGGACCAUAACUGACGCUGAGGCGCGAAAGCCAGGGGAGCAAACGGG